CCUACGGGGGGCAGCAGCAAGGAAUUUUCCGCAAUGGGCGCAAGCCUGACGGAGCAACGCCGCGUGCGGGAUGACGCUUUUCGGAGUGUAAACCGCUGUUCGUGGGGACGAAGCACUGACGGUACCCACGGAGGAAGGCCCGGCUAACUACGUGCCAGCAGCCGCGGUAAUACGUAGGGGUCGAGCGUUGUCCGGAGUUACUGGGCGUAAAGCGCGUGCAGGUGGCCCAUUACGCCCGGCGUGAAAGCCCCCGGCCUAACCGGGGAGGGUCGUCGGGGACGGAUGGGCUUGAGGGUCGCAGGGGCUGGUGGAAUUCCCGGUGUAGUGGUGAAAUGCGUAGAGAUCGGGAGGAACACCCGUGGCGAAGGCGGCCAGCUGGGCGAGCCCUGACACUGAGACGCGAAGGCGUGGGGAGCGAACGGGAUUAGAUACCCCUGUAG
RNAcentral lists this ribosomal RNA (440 nucleotides) under uncultured bacterium. Its description in RNAcentral is "bacterial SSU rRNA". It matches the Rfam family "Bacterial small subunit ribosomal RNA", at positions 338 to 793 of the family's 1533-position model. The record is from RNAcentral.